This 352-nucleotide transfer-messenger RNA is filed under the name Lachnospiraceae bacterium. It matches the Rfam family "transfer-messenger RNA". Rfam says of the family: Bacterial tmRNA, also known as 10Sa RNA or SsrA, is named for its dual tRNA and mRNA-like properties. Its role is to liberate the mRNA from a stalled ribosome. To accomplish this part of the tmRNA is used as a reading frame that ends in a translation stop signal. The record is from RNAcentral. Lineage: Bacteria; Bacillati; Bacillota; Clostridia; Lachnospirales; Lachnospiraceae.
GGGGAUGUAUUGGCUUCGACGGUAUUUUAGAAAUAUUGAUAGCAAGUGAUGGACUCUGCUUGGCCAUCUAAAAAAUGCAGAAAAAAAUUUAAACGCUGAUAAACAAGAAUUAGCAUACGCUGCCUAAUUGCAGCGACGUCUUAUUAUAAGACCUCACUAUUAUAGUAAGGCGACAAAUUAGUGAGAAACAAAACUGCUUUUUGCCUUAGAAGCAGUGGGUAUUAUAAGGCUACCGAUAUUUUAAGUUUGUUUGUUAACUUAAUUUAAAGGGAAAUUUAACAAUAAACUAAACUUGUAGAAGUUAAUAUGGAAGAAAUAUUGGACACGAGUUCGACUCUCGUCAUCUCCACCA